ACCUUUUUUUAUUGAAGCUCUUUGCUGAAAUUGAAGAAGGUUGGAUUAUGUCUAAGUAUUUGUAAUAGGGCUAGCAGCGUAUACACAAGAAGAAGAAACAAGGCAGGGCGUGGUGGCACACGCCUGAUCCAGCACUUGGGAGGCUGAGGCAGGAGGAUUGCUAUGAAU
Small nucleolar RNA from Octodon degus (degu), 168 nucleotides. RefSeq annotates it as small nucleolar RNA SNORA81. The record is from RefSeq and is a predicted model, not a curated record. NCBI's taxonomy places the organism in Eukaryota, Metazoa, Chordata, Mammalia, Rodentia, Octodontidae. The transcript has a single exon.